RNAcentral lists this unclassified non-coding RNA (1524 nucleotides) under Hevea brasiliensis (rubber tree). Lineage: Eukaryota; Viridiplantae; Streptophyta; Magnoliopsida; Malpighiales; Euphorbiaceae. The record is from RNAcentral.
ACAAUUUCCUGUCUCCUCUUGUAUCGUUCCUUCUCUUUCUCUGUAGAUCACUAGUAAAACCCUUCUUCACAGCCUUCAUACACUCAAUAGCACCACCAAACCCUUGUAUUUGCUCUUUCUGGUCUCAAGUUAGCUUACCUAGGGUUAGUUUUGGAGUCUUCUUGAUCCCAAUGGCGGAGGAAGAGGUUGUUGCUCCGGCGGCUAGUCCCGUACCCUCUGAUCACAAGCGCAAGCUUGAAGAUUUAGAGCCUGAAGCUCCUCAUCCGACUGAGACCAAUCCCGAACAGGAAGCUGACCUGAGCGCUGAGCCCGAUGCAGAUAAGGAAGCUGAUGAUGUGGUUGAUGGAGAUUCGCCAGAUGCCAAGCGGCUAAGGGUCGAUGAGAGUAAACCCGAUGGUCUAGCUAGCGAAAAUGGUUUUGAAGGAGCGAAGUCAGAGGAACACGCAAAGGAGAGCGUUGAAGAGCCAGGUGUUGAGAAUGAGAAAGCAGAGGAUGCUGCUCUUCCUCCGUCUGAGGGGGUUCCUGAAACAACAGGUAAAGAAGAAUUCGCUGCAGAUGGUCAUGACACUGUUAAUACCCAACAGGCUUCUGUUGAGGAUUCGAAGACAGAUGAUGCUGAGGAAAAAGAGGAAACUGAGAAACAUUCUGAGGAGGACGAGGAUCCUGCAUCUGACGCUCAAACUACCUCGCGCAAAAUGGAGGUUCCCAAUGAUAAGGUUGGGGUACUUAUUGGAAAGGGUGGAGAUACUAUUCGUUACCUGCAGUAUAAUUCUGGGGCAAAAAUUCAAAUCACAAGGGAUGCUGAUGCUAAUCCUCAAUCCACAACAAGGCCAGUAGAAAUAAUAGGAACUUUAAGUAGUAUAAAGAAGGCUGAGAAGCUCAUUAGUGCUGUCAUAGCAGAGGCUGAUGCUGGUGGUUCCCCCUCCCUUGUAGCUAGGGGCCUACCUAGUGCACAGACAGGUGGAGUGGGAGAACAACUUGAGAUGCAAGUUCCAAAUGAGAAGGUUGGUCUGAUCAUAGGCAGAGGUGGGGACACCAUUAAAGCUCUCCAAGCCAAAUCGGGAGCACGCAUUCAGUUGAUACCUCAACAUCUUCCAGAAGGGGAUGGUUCCAAAGAAAGGACAGUGAGAGUGACUGGUGAUAGAAAGCAAAUUGAGAUGGCUAGAGAAAUGAUAAAGGAUGUUAUGAAUCAGACUGUGAGGUCAUCACCUUACUCCGGCAGUUUCAACCAGCAGCAUUCCUAUCGACCCCGUGGAUCCACUGGUCCAUCAAAUUGGGGUCCGCGAGGCCCUCAUUCAUCACAGCCAAGUCCUUAUGAUUAUCAUCACCGAGGACCUUAUCCUUCUCAAAGUUCACAGUAUCCACCUCCAAGUUAUGGUGGUUAUCCUCCCCAACAAAUGGGCCCAAGAGGUAACUUUGGUUCUGGUUGGGAGCAAAGACCUCCCACCAUGCAGGGGCCAGUUCCGCAUGGUGGAGUUUAUGACUACUAUGGUGGCCAGGGAGGCCAUGUAUCUGAUCACCCAG